GGUCCAGCUAAUGAUCCAAUGAGAGCAUCCCAAUUCAUAUACAACUUUUUCGAUUGGCUGUAAAAGCCAGGUAAUGGAUACCACCAGGAGAGGUUGACUGGAUACACCAUAUCUCUUCACUCACUCAAAGACCCAAACUGAUGGAGAAGUAAACAUCCCUACCAGUCACAGUGGCAGAAGGAAAGAAAGCUUUGAAGUGUCUUCAACUGGAAAUCAAAUUCUCCAUCCUAGAAGAGACGAUCAUUAUUUCCUUAAUGAUUAAUUAUUUACAACUUGUGGACCCGGAGUCAUUAUAUGACCUACCCCAAUCACCAGGGACUUUGUAGUAUAAUUUUACAACAUCUGGAAUGCAGACAGCCUAAUAUAU
RNAcentral lists this long non-coding RNA (367 nucleotides) under Homo sapiens (human). Its description in RNAcentral is "HSALNT0173652". Lineage: Eukaryota; Metazoa; Chordata; Mammalia; Primates; Hominidae. The record is from RNAcentral.